RNAcentral lists this ribosomal RNA (588 nucleotides) under uncultured Gammaproteobacteria bacterium. RNAcentral describes it as "bacterial SSU rRNA". It matches the Rfam family "Bacterial small subunit ribosomal RNA", at positions 338 to 917 of the family's 1533-position model. The record is from RNAcentral. Lineage: Bacteria; Pseudomonadati; Pseudomonadota; Gammaproteobacteria.
CCUACGGGAGGCAGCAGUGGGGAAUAUUGGACAAUGGGGGCAACCCUGAUCCAGCAAUGCCGCGUGUGUGAAGAAGGCCUGCGGGUUGUAAAGCACUUUAGGUAACGAGGAAAGUUUGGUUGUUAAUAGCAACUGAAAUUGACGUUAGUUACAGAAUAAGCACCGGCUAACUCUGUGCCAGCAGCCGCGGUAAUACAGAGGGUGCAAGCGUUAAUCGGAAUGACUGGGCGUAAAGGGUGCGUAGGUGGCGUUUUAAGUUAGAUGUGAAAUCCCUGGGCUUAACCUAGGAACUGCAUUUAAUACUGGGACGCUAGAGUAUGGGAGAGGUAAGUGGAAUUUCCGGUGUAGCGGUGAAAUGCGUAGAUAUCGGAAGGAACACCAGUGGCGAAGGCGGUUUACUGGCCUAAUACUGAUACUGAGGCACGAAAGCGUGGGGAGCAAACAGGAUUAGAUACCCUGGUAGUCCACGCCGUAAACGAUGAGAACUAGAUGAUGGGGCCGAUUAAGGUCUUAGUAUCGAAGCUAACGCGUUAAGUUCUCCGCCUGGGGAGUACGGUCGCAAGAUUAAAACUCAAAGGAAUUGACGGA